CAAUAGCGUAUAUUAAAGUUGUUGCGGUUAAAAAGCUCGUAGUUGGAUUUCUGCUGAGAACGACCGGUCCGCCCUCUGGGUGUGUAUCUGGCUCUUUCUUGGCAUCUUCUUGGUGAACGUUGCUGCACUUGACUGUGUGGAGCGCUACCCAGGACUUUUACUUUGAGGAAAUUAGAGUGUUUCAAGCAGGCAUACGCCUUGAAUACAUUAGCAUGGAAUAAUAAGAUAGGACCUCGGUUCUAUUUUGUUGGUUUCUAGAGCUGAGGUAAUGAUUAAUAGGGAUAGUUGGGGGCAUUCGUAUUUAACUGUCAGAGGUGUAAUUCUUGGAUUUGUUAAAGACGGACUACUGCGAAAGCAUUUGCCAAGGAUGUUUNCAUUG
This 379-nucleotide ribosomal RNA is filed under the name uncultured eukaryote. Its description in RNAcentral is "partial 18S ribosomal RNA". It matches the Rfam family "Eukaryotic small subunit ribosomal RNA", at positions 592 to 975 of the family's 1831-position model. The record is from RNAcentral.